Molecule: long non-coding RNA, 1417 nt
Organism: Spinacia oleracea (spinach)
Lineage: Eukaryota; Viridiplantae; Streptophyta; Magnoliopsida; Caryophyllales; Amaranthaceae
Exons: 7
Source: RefSeq, a predicted model, not a curated record
GAUGAAAUUCUGAAGGAUAUUUUUGUUUAAUUGUUGGGACUUUUAGUGGGCUAAGUGAGACAAAUGGACCAUCAUUUGGAAGGAGGGUCAUCAUUUUGGAGACCGGAGACCCUUGCCAAAUAUAGAUCAUGUGUUGUGAUGUUAGAUCUUGAAUGUGAUGAUCUUAAGUGAGCUGUUCAGGACGUUUUUCUCUGUAGCAAGGGAUGAUCACCCGAAAAACGUACUGUCAUCAAUGAAAACAAUUAUGCAUGUUCUUCUAGAUGAAAGUGAGGAUAUCCAUGAAGAUCUUCUGCUUAUUUUUCUCUCUACACUUGGACAGAAUAAAAAGGGUCCUAUCAGGGUAUAAGGUGAAAAGUAUUCGCUUUGUCCGAUUCGUGCAAGAAAAAUAUCUCCGUACUUGUGGAGACUGAUUAGUGAUUACCCAUUUUCCCACCAAUCAGCCUGCGAGUGUGAGAUGGAUAGUCUCGGAAUUUGAUUUCUCCAUCCCCCCCACAGGUUAUUCAUGUUUGAUGUUGAAUUAAGGUUUCCUAUCUAGAAUUUUGUGCCUAGGGACCUUUGACUUGUUAUUGAUAGCAUGGGAUAUUAAUGAGACUUUUAAAACUGGUAAUUGGUCAGGGGAAGUUGGGGGCCUGGGGCUGAUUUCAAAUCUUAUUCAAAUUGGUUGGUUCAACAGCUUUUUUGAGCGAUUCUGGUUCCGUUCAUGCACAAGAUAAGGGAAUGGUGAAGCUUCAUCAUGACUUGCGAUUGGGGGAUCAGGAUUUCUGAGAAGUCUAAGCCAAUGUUGAUAAAGUUGUUGACGAAGAUCUUUCAGGGUUUAACCUUAAGUUUGCUGACCUUUUUGGUUACGGUUCACUGGUUGAUGAGUCCGACCAGGUUAAACUGCUCAGUCACUGGAAAGAUCACACUGUCUGUUACCUUCUACGCUACUACCGGUGGAAUUUCUGCCGCAUUUAUAUCUGUCUUUUGGUCAUUUGGUUACCUUAGGCUAUGAGAGAAACUCCGCAAAACCGCAAAUGACCCGUCAAAGGUGGAGAAGAUGCAAGUAACAUGCAAAUGAAGGUGCCAUGACGACUACGUGGUGGCAUUUAUUGGUUUAUCUUGCCUGCUGGAUGUAGUUACACUUUUUUCAAACUGCUUUAUUAACCAAAUAAAGUCGUGAUCUUUAAUUCUUUUAUAUUGGGUUAAUAUUGGAUCCUUGGACGGAAUUGGGUUGCUUCAGACUUUCAUCUCACUCUUUGGGAAGUUUUAUUCUUCUUACAUGAUGUUCUGUUUGAAAUAUUUUUCCUGUUGUUUUGGACUUCGGCUCAUCAUUCUGGGGAAUGUCUUUAAUACUUGCAUCAACAAAUCUUUUGACUGCGAGAAUAACUACAUAUUUGUUUGUUGUAAAUACAAUUUUAUUUAGUUGGUUUUAGCAUAA